Long non-coding RNA from Syzygium oleosum, 244 nucleotides. RefSeq lists it as uncharacterized. The record is from RefSeq and is a predicted model, not a curated record. Lineage: Eukaryota; Viridiplantae; Streptophyta; Magnoliopsida; Myrtales; Myrtaceae. The transcript is spliced from 3 exons.
UCUGAAGGUUUCAAUUGGUUCCUGAUAGAUUGUCUUAACACCAAUUUGCAAUGUCGGUCUCCGAUGAUAAUGCAGAAAGGAAAAAUGGGUCAGUCCCAGAAUCCAUCAUGACACCAAACUGGACAAUAAAUGUAUCCGAGAUAAAGACGAUCAAGGUCAGCAACAUUUCUCCGAAUGUUUCGGACCGAGACAUUAGAGAGUUCUUUUCUUUCUCCGGCAAUGUCCAGUACGUCGAAAUGCGAAG